Molecule: long non-coding RNA, 794 nt
Organism: Triticum dicoccoides
Lineage: Eukaryota; Viridiplantae; Streptophyta; Magnoliopsida; Poales; Poaceae
Exons: 2
Source: RefSeq, a predicted model, not a curated record
UCCGUCCCCUUCCUCCGCCGCCCCCGCCGCAGUGCCCGGCGGAUGCUGCCGCUCCGGUGGACCAUAUCCCCACUUCUGAUGGAUUUCGGUCGUCCGUGCGCUCCUGUGGCAGGCCGCGGCCUGCCGUCUCCGGUAGCUCACCGCCGGCAGCGGCCACCGCAUCGACAGGUUUGAUUCGCAGGUACUCCAAUCAACUAGAGAUUCGUGUAUCCUCCUACCAAUCAACUACUCGUGCAAGGAUUCUGAGCGCUGGGCGGCGAGGCGAAGAGCUUGAGCCUACUGAGCUCAGAGCAAUAAUCCAGAGGGGACGCACCAUGUGAUUGGCACGGUUUUCGUUCCUGCUCUAAGCUGAUGUAUAUGCUCAUGCUGCGACACCAGAUCACCUGCAGCACUGGACCCUGGAGGGGCACUGGGGUAGCAACGCGAAGGCUAUAUAAUCUGUGGGGUCGAGAUCACUGUGGAACAUGAUCAUGGGGGCCGGCGAGCGGAGCUGGUCAGCGGCGGCAGCGGCAGCUGCGUCGAAGCAGCUCGAGGAUUGGAGUUGGAGGUCAACAAUGGCGGCAACUGUGAGGGGGGACAGGAUGUCUCGUGCAUUACUUUUGUGGUUGGGAUGUACAGUAGUUAUUUCAUUUUCAACCCAUCUACCUCGAUUACAAGUUGUCAUGUAAGCCAAUCUUCUUGAAAGUGAAAGCUUUGGAGGAAUAGAGGAGCUCAUCAAGGCCACAAAAGAAAGCAUGUUGUAGAUCACCAUUCAGCAGCCCAUUCGUUGAUGAUAAUUACUCUCUCCGUGGCUA